Molecule: ribosomal RNA, 459 nt
Filed under: uncultured bacterium
Lineage: Bacteria
Description: partial 16S ribosomal RNA
Rfam family: Bacterial small subunit ribosomal RNA
Source: RNAcentral
CCUACGGGCGGCAGCAGUGAGGAAUAUUGGUCCAUGGGCGGAAGCCUGAACCAGCCAAGUAGCGUGCGGGAUGAAGGCCCUACGGGUCGUAAACCGCUUUUGCACGGGGAUAACACCCUCCACUUGUGGAGGUCUGCAGGUACCGUGCGAAUAAGGGCCGGCUAAUUCCGUGCCAGCAGCCGCGGUAAUACGGAAGGCCCGAGCGUUAUCCGGAUUCAUUGGGCUUAAAGGGAGCGUAGGCGGGCGUUCAAGUCAGCGGUAAAAUCGCGCGGCUCAACCGUGCCCCGCAGUUGAAACUGGACGCAUUGAGUUCACAACAGGCAGGCGGAAUUCGUGGUGUAGCGGUGAAAUGCAGAGAUAUCACGAGGAACCCCGAUUGCGAAGGCAGCCUGCCGGGGUGCGACUGACGCUGAGGCUCGAAGGUGCGGGUAUCAAACAGGAUUAGAUACCCCGGUAGUC